This 253-nucleotide ribosomal RNA is filed under the name uncultured bacterium. RNAcentral describes it as "partial 16S ribosomal RNA". It matches the Rfam family "Bacterial small subunit ribosomal RNA", at positions 524 to 776 of the family's 1533-position model. The record is from RNAcentral.
UACGGAAGGGGCAAGCGUUGUUCGGAAUCAUUGGGCGUAAAGGGCGCGUAGGUGGUUCUGUAUGUCUACCGUGAAAGCGUACGGCUCAACCGUAUUUUGUCGGUGGAAACUGCAGGACUUGAGGCUGGGAGGGGCUGGUGGAAUUCCCUGUGUAGCGGUGAAAUGCGUAGAGAUGGGGGAGGACACUCGUGGCGAAGGCGGCCAGCUAGACCAGUUCUGACACUGAGGCGCGACAGCGUGGGGAGCAAACAGG